CAAAAUUUCAGGUGCCUCCUGAGACAACACUGUUGGAUUUGGCUGAUAAAAUAAUGAUGUUUUUUCUCUUUACCAGUUUGUUAGUACCAUUUAUUUUAACAAAAAUUUUGAUUGCCACUAAGAAGUUAAGAAUACUGACAAUGGCUGACCAGUUUUUGGAAGAAAAUAGUGUGAGUCUGAGAACUUGGAGUUGUUCAAGAGUCUACUGGAGAAUCCUGCCCUUUCAAAUGACAAUUUUGCCAGCUGCAUUAACUGGGACAAGAUUAUUG
RNAcentral lists this long non-coding RNA (269 nucleotides) under Zonotrichia albicollis (white-throated sparrow). Its description in RNAcentral is "lncRNA (ENSZALG00000008833.1)". The record is from RNAcentral. Lineage: Eukaryota; Metazoa; Chordata; Aves; Passeriformes; Passerellidae.